UUUCCGCUGGAUUACACCCAACUCCACACCCAUUUCUCCAGUGACCCCAUCCAGCCACCUCAACCUCUGUCAUCCCCUUCUCCUUUUGCCUUCAAUUGGACCCAGCAUCAUGGGCUUUUCCAAUGAGUCCAUUCUUCUCAUUAGCUGGCCAAUUAGCUUCCCCU
Varanus komodoensis (Komodo dragon) is the source of this 164-nucleotide long non-coding RNA. RefSeq lists it as uncharacterized. The record is from RefSeq and is a predicted model, not a curated record. Lineage: Eukaryota; Metazoa; Chordata; Lepidosauria; Squamata; Varanidae. The transcript is spliced from 4 exons.